GCAUCUGCUCUCCCUUUUUUUGCCUGCCCUGACCUUAGCAUUUUCAGGUUUCCAGUUUCCAAAGCUGAUGUGAUUUCCCAGCUGGAACAAGGGGAAGAGUCAUGGGUCUCAGAGCUCCAGGGUUCAGAGGAAAGACAGAUCCUGAGAGCUCCCUGCAAAGCAGGUGAUGCAAUGGCAUGUGAGAAAGAGGAGCAGAAUUCUCAGCAGGAAGAUGCUGGGCAAGUGGAUAAACACAGAGCACUAU
Long non-coding RNA from Dermochelys coriacea (leatherback sea turtle), 244 nucleotides. RefSeq lists it as uncharacterized. The record is from RefSeq and is a predicted model, not a curated record. NCBI's taxonomy places the organism in Eukaryota, Metazoa, Chordata, Testudines, Dermochelyidae. The transcript is spliced from 3 exons.